Molecule: ribosomal RNA, 440 nt
Filed under: uncultured bacterium
Lineage: Bacteria
Description: partial 16S ribosomal RNA
Rfam family: Bacterial small subunit ribosomal RNA
Source: RNAcentral
CCUACGGGGGGCAGCAGUGGGGAAUAUUGCACAAUGGGGGAAACCCUGAUGCAGCGACGCCGCGUGAGUGAAGAAGUAAUUCGUUAUGUAAAGCUCUAUCAGCAGGGAAGAAAAUGACGGUACCUGAGUAAGACGCCCCGGCUAACUACGUGCCAGCAGCCGCGGUAAUACGUAGGGGGCAAGCGUUAUCCGGAUUUACUGGGUGUAACGGGAGAGUAGACGGCAGUGCAAGUCUGGAGUGAAAGGCGGGGGCUCAAACCCCGGACUGCUCUGGAAACUGUACGGCUGGAGUGCAGGAGAGGUAAGUGGAAUUCCUAGUGUAGCGGUGAAAUGCGUAGAUAUUAGGAGGAACGCCAGUGGCGAAGGCGGCUUACUGGACUGGAACUGACGUUGAGGCUCGAAAGCGUGGGUAGCAAACAGGAUUAGAUACCCGGGUAGUC